This 36-nucleotide non-coding RNA is filed under the name Schistosoma mansoni. The record is from RNAcentral. Lineage: Eukaryota; Metazoa; Platyhelminthes; Trematoda; Strigeidida; Schistosomatidae.
AUCCAGCUGACGAGUCCCAAAUAGGACGUCGUGGAU